AUUCCAGCUCCAAUAGCGUAUAUUAAAGUUGUUGCAGUUAAAAAGCUCGUAGUUGGACUUCUGUGAGAGUGCCGGUGUCGGCCGAUGCUUGUACGCAGGCGCUCUUACAUCCUUCUGUUAACUGUUCUUGGCAUUUUAUUGCUGGUUCAGGGCUCAGAUAUUUUACCUUGAGAAAAUUAGAGUGUUUCAGGCAGGCUUAUGCCGGAAUACAUUAGCAUGGAAUAAUGGAACAGGACCUGUGCGUCUCUCGGGGCGCCGGUCUCCGUUGUUGGUUUCGGGGACUAAUGUAAUGAUUAAUAGGGAUAGUUGGGGGCAUUAGUAUUUAAUAGUCAGAGGUGAAAUUCUCGGAUUUGUUAAAGACUAACUUAUGCGAAAGCAUUUGCCAAGGAUGUUUUCAUCA
RNAcentral lists this ribosomal RNA (400 nucleotides) under Holosticha sp. RNAcentral's name for it is "partial small subunit ribosomal RNA". It matches the Rfam family "Eukaryotic small subunit ribosomal RNA", at positions 582 to 975 of the family's 1831-position model. Lineage: Eukaryota; Ciliophora; Spirotrichea; Urostylida; Holostichidae. The record is from RNAcentral.